Molecule: ribosomal RNA, 529 nt
Filed under: uncultured bacterium
Lineage: Bacteria
Description: partial 16S ribosomal RNA
Rfam family: Bacterial small subunit ribosomal RNA
Source: RNAcentral
UGGGGAAUUUUGGACAAUGGGGGAAACCCUGAUCCAGCCAUCCCGCGUGUGCGAUGAAGGCCUUCGGGUUGUAAAGCACUUUUGGCAGGAAAGAAACGUCGCGGGUUAAUACCCCGCGAAACUGACGGUACCUGCAGAAUAAGCACCGGCUAACUACGUGCCAGCAGCCGCGGUAAUACGUAGGGUGCAAGCGUUAAUCGGAAUUACUGGGCGUAAAGCGUGCGCAGGCGGUUCGGAAAGAAAGAUGUGAAAUCCCAGAGCUUAACUUUUGGAACUGCAUUUUUAAACUACCGGGCUAGAGUGUGUCAGAGGGAGGUGGAAUUCCGCGUGUAGCAGUGAAAUGCGUAGAUAUGCGGAGGAACACCGAUGGCGAAGGCAGCCUCCUGGGAUAACACUGACGCUCAUGCACGAAAAGCGUGGGGAGCAAACAGGAUUAGAUACCCUGGUAGUCCACGCCCUAAACGAUGUCAACUAGCUGUUGGGGCCUUCGGGCCUUGGUAGCGCAGCUAACGCGUGAAGUUGACCGCCU